Molecule: ribosomal RNA, 353 nt
Filed under: uncultured Racocetra
Lineage: Eukaryota; Fungi; Glomeromycota; Glomeromycetes; Diversisporales; Gigasporaceae
Description: SSU rRNA
Rfam family: Eukaryotic small subunit ribosomal RNA
Source: RNAcentral
AGCAGCCGCGGUAAUUCCAGCUCCAAUAGCGUAUAUUAAAGUUGUUGCAGUUAAAAAGCUCGUAGUUGAAUUUCGGGGUUCUACCGUUGGUCAGGCUAUUGUUUGUACUGGCGGGUAGAAUUUCUACCUUCUGGGGAACUAUCAUGUUAUUAAUUUAGCGUGGUAGGAAACCAGGACCUUUACCUUGAAAAAAUUAGAGUGUUCAAAGCAGGCUUAUGUCUGAAUACAUUAGCAUGGAAUAAUAAAAUAGGACGGUGGUCCUGUUUUGUUGGUUUCUGAAUCACCGUAAUGAUUAAUAGGGAUAGUUGGGGGCAUUAGUAUUCAAUUGUCAGAGGUGAAAUUCUUGGAUUUAU